AAGUCGAAGGAGAAGCCGGACUUCGGUCCGGUGGAAACUGGCGCACGGGUGAGUAACGCGUGGGUAUCUACCUUGGGGUGGGGAAUAACCGUUGGAAACGGCGGCUAAUACCGCAUACGCCUUUAGAGGGAAAGCUCCGGCGCCCUAAGAGGAGCCCGCGUUGGAUUAGCUUGUUGGUGGGGUAACGGCCUACCAAGGCUACGAUCUAUAGCUGGUCUGAGAGGAUGAUCAGCCACACUGGGACUGAGAUACGGCCCAGACUCCUACGGGAGGCAGCAGUGGGGAAUAUUGGACAAUGGGCGCAAGCCUGAUCCAGCCAUGCCGCGUGAGUGAAGAAGGCCUUAGGGUUGUAAAGCUCUUUCACCUGCGAAGAUGAUGACGGUAGCAGGAGAAGAAGCCCCGGCUAACUCCGUGCCAGCAGCCGCGGUAAUACGGAGGGGGCUAGCGUUGUUCGGAUUUACUGGGCGUAAAGGGCGCGUAGGCGGUAUGUCAUGUCAGGGGUGAAAGGCCUGGGCUCAACCCAGGAACUGCCUUUGAAACUGGCAAACUAGAGUCCGAUAGAGGAUGGCGGAAUUCCCAGUGUAGAGGUGAAAUUCGUAGAUAUUGGGAAGAACACCAGUGGCGAAGGCGGCCAUCUGGAUCGGCACU
This 648-nucleotide ribosomal RNA is filed under the name uncultured bacterium. Its description in RNAcentral is "bacterial SSU rRNA". It matches the Rfam family "Bacterial small subunit ribosomal RNA", at positions 59 to 741 of the family's 1533-position model. The record is from RNAcentral.